RNAcentral lists this small RNA (418 nucleotides) under Histoplasma capsulatum. RNAcentral describes it as "hypothetical RNA". RNAcentral also lists the same sequence under 1 other name. The record is from RNAcentral. Lineage: Eukaryota; Fungi; Ascomycota; Eurotiomycetes; Onygenales; Ajellomycetaceae.
AUGUACGGGCGCAGGAAGAGGUAGCCGCCUAUUAUCCAGACGAGGCGGAUGUAGUCGCGCAGUGUCAGGGAAGAGAGGGAGUUGGAGAGAUUGGAUGUUAGGUUAGUGUACCAGGUUUGGAGGGUGGCGAGGAUGGAGGAUGGGUCUAACGUGGCCAUUGUUGCUGCAGCGGCCUGAGAUGGAAUUUGUGCGUUUUAUGUGAAGGUUGCCGUUUGGUAAAAUUUGUUGUUCGAGGUGGUGGAUGGAUUUUUAGCUGAUUGGGAGGUUUGAGAUUGGUGGUUGCGGAGAGGUGCGAGGGUGAAGGGUCUUCGAGUGGUUACGUGGUUUGCAUAGUGCGGGAAGACUGGGGUUCCAAAACGAUUGGCUAUACCUCAUUGAUGGGAUAGGCGGUCAUACUUAGGUAUUUGGAUAUCCCUGG